This 219-nucleotide long non-coding RNA is filed under the name Ananas comosus (pineapple). RNAcentral describes it as "long non-coding RNA (ACOM_LNC039105)". Lineage: Eukaryota; Viridiplantae; Streptophyta; Magnoliopsida; Poales; Bromeliaceae. The record is from RNAcentral.
UUAUUUCACAAUCCCAUCGUGACCAUACAAAAUCUCUUCCACAAUCCUGGAUUCUCAUCGCACGUUUCCCUCAAAUCGGUUGCAACCAACCACAUCCCACGACCCCAUCCCACGUUCCCGUAACCUCCUCACCCAUACGCACGUUUUCCUCAACCACCCUCAAAUCGUACGCACGUCCCCCUCAAAUCACCCCAUAAAUACCUUUAUAAAAAAAAUGGG